Molecule: ribosomal RNA, 253 nt
Filed under: uncultured bacterium
Lineage: Bacteria
Description: partial 16S ribosomal RNA
Rfam family: Bacterial small subunit ribosomal RNA
Source: RNAcentral
UACGUAGGGUGCGAGCGUUAAUCGGAAUUAUUGGGCGUAAAGCGUGCGUAGGCGGUUCGUUAUGUCUGCUGUGAAAGCCCCGGGCUUAACCUGGGAAUGGCAGUGGAAACUGGCGGGCUUGAGUGUGGCAGAGGGGGGUGGAAUUCCGCGUGUAGCAGUGAAAUGCGUAGAGAUGCGGAGGAACACCGAUGGCGAAGGCAGCCCCCUGGGCUGACACUGACGCUGAGGCACGAAAGCGUGGGGAGCAAACAGG